Podarcis lilfordi (Lilford's wall lizard) is the source of this 190-nucleotide non-coding RNA. The record is from the annotation of a GenBank genome assembly. Lineage: Eukaryota; Metazoa; Chordata; Lepidosauria; Squamata; Lacertidae.
UUCCUGAUGUUUAGUUGGAAUCUCAUUCCUUGUCAUUUGAAUCCAUUGGUUUAGGUUCUACCCUCCAGAGCAGGAGAAAACAAGCUUGUUGUAUCUCCCACGUGACAGCCCUUGAGAUAUUUGAAGAUGGCUAUCCUAUCUCCUCUCAAGUCUCCUCUUUUCCAGGCUAAACAUCCCCAGAUCCUUCAAC